RNAcentral lists this long non-coding RNA (901 nucleotides) under Phasianus colchicus (ring-necked pheasant). Its description in RNAcentral is "lncRNA (ENSPCLG00000004959.1)". Lineage: Eukaryota; Metazoa; Chordata; Aves; Galliformes; Phasianidae. The record is from RNAcentral.
UGGCAUCCCGCCAGUAUCCUCUCAUGAGGAAGAAUCAAUUUGCAAGGUAUUGAAUAAACCCUUGGGCUCUGCCUUGGAGAGGUGACCACCCAUGAAACCAACUGACAUGAAAGCACCACAAGAUAAGCUGUCAUCUUAAUAAAUCUGAGAGGGUAUGAAGGCAGAGAGUGUCUGUGGAGGUGUUUCCAGUGUGGCUAUGGAGACACACAGCUCCCAUUCAUCAGGACUGUUCUUUGCAUCUGUCUGACCUGACCUGCUGGCAGAAUGCGUCUGUUGCAUUUCUUGUCCUGCAGUGUUAAACUUGGUGCUAUGCCAUGUGAUCAUGCUGAUGUCUGACGGCACUCCUGGAUCAGCAGCUCUUGCUACAUUUCUCUGCAAGUACAAAACUUCAACUAAUGGGCAUUAGCAACUCAUGGACAGACUCCACCUCACGUGCUUUUGAGAACAUGCUUAAGAAUCAUGCUGGCCCUGUGAUGGGCCUUCAUAGAACUUCGAGGAGCUGGUGUGACUUGGAGGGCAGCUGUUCUGGUGCUGUUCUGCUGUAUGAGAAAUCCUGUUUGGUGAGAAGAUGUCAGAGCUGCCCUUGGCAUGAAGCUGCUGGGUGUCCAGGUAGGAGCAACACUGUGUGUGUUUGGGGGUCUGUGUGCAGUUCAGGUACAGCGUACAAAUCAAUUUUUGCAAAAGUGGAAAUCUGCAUCUUUUUCCAUAACGCUACGUUAUCAAGAAGAUGAUGGCAAAUAUUAAUGUUUCCGUUCUAUAGAUAUGGCUAUUGAAGCACUUCCCACAUAGCCUAUCUUUGUUAGGGCUUUCAAAGCUUUUUGAGCUUGAAGAGCAAAAACUUAAAUGAACAAUGACUUUUCUUUUGCCUAGUUUGCGUGGAAUGUUGUGUAUUAAAAUUUCC